RNAcentral lists this ribosomal RNA (515 nucleotides) under uncultured Agrobacterium sp. RNAcentral's name for it is "bacterial SSU rRNA". It matches the Rfam family "Bacterial small subunit ribosomal RNA", at positions 28 to 590 of the family's 1533-position model. The record is from RNAcentral. Lineage: Bacteria; Pseudomonadati; Pseudomonadota; Alphaproteobacteria; Hyphomicrobiales; Rhizobiaceae.
AACGAACGCUGGCGGCAGGCUUAACACAUGCAAGUCGAACGCCCCGCAAGGGGAGUGGCAGACGGGUGAGUAACGCGUGGGAACAUACCCUUUCCUGCGGAAUAGCUCCGGGAAACUGGAAUUAAUACCGCAUACGCCCUACGGGGGAAAGAUUUAUCGGGGAAGGAUUGGCCCGCGUUGGAUUAGCUAGUUGGUGGGGUAAAGGCCUACCAAGGCGACGAUCCAUAGCUGGUCUGAGAGGAUGAUCAGCCACAUUGGGACUGAGACACGGCCCAAACUCCUACGGGGAGGCAGCAGUGGGGAAUAUUGGACAAUGGCGCAAGCCUGAUCCAGCCAUGCCGCGUGAGUGAUGAAGGCCUUAGGGUUGUAAAGCUCUUUCACCGGAGAAGAUAAUGACGGUAUCCGGAGAAGAAGCCCCGGGCUAACUUCGUGCCAGCAGCCGCGGUAAUACGAAGGGGGCUAGCGUUGUUCGGAAUUACUGGGCGUAAAGCGCACGUAGGCGGAUAUUUAAGUCA